This 415-nucleotide ribosomal RNA is filed under the name uncultured bacterium. RNAcentral's name for it is "bacterial SSU rRNA". It matches the Rfam family "Bacterial small subunit ribosomal RNA", at positions 28 to 417 of the family's 1533-position model. The record is from RNAcentral.
GACGAACGCUGGCGGCGUGCUUAACACAUGCAAGUCGAACGAGAGGACAAGAGAAGCUUGCUUCUUUUGGAAUCGAGUGGCAAACGGGUGAGUAACACGUAAACAACCUGCCUUCAGGAUGGGGACAACAGACGGAAACGACUGCUAAUACCGAAUACGCUUGGGAGACCGCAUGAUCUUCCAAGGAAAGGGUGGCCUCUACUUGUAAGCUAUCGCCUGAAGAGGGGUUUGCGUCUGAUUAGGCAGUUGGUGAGGUAACGGCCCACCAAACCUACGAUCAGUAGCCGGUCUGAGAGGAUGAACGGCCACACUGGAACUGAGACACGGUCCAGACUCCUACGGGAGGCAGCAGUGGGGAAUCUUCCGCAAUGGGCGAAAGCCUGACGGAGCAACGCCGCGUGAGUGAUGACGGCCU